UUGAUAAACACUGAUCAACAUAGGUUUUUUAAACUAUAAAACAUACUUGUAUGGAAAUGCUUUUCUGACAGUUUGAAUCAUUCUUACUUACCAAUAUACAUGUCCCAACAAUGAAAGAGUAAAGCAAGCUGAAUCACCAAACUCAGUAACAAUAUCAUCAUGGCUUUUCUGCUUAUUAAACACUCCACCAGAUAAGAUUUGUUCCCCUUCUGCAAGCCUUUAAAAUACAAAUUUAAAGAUUUUUAAAAACCAAUAUAAAAAGCAGUUCAUGUAAACAUAUUCUUCAUUACCAAAGUGCAUCUAACUAUGGAGACACAAAUUUUUUCUCUCUCUCUCUUUCCUUUUCCUUCCUUCCUUCAUCCCUCCCUCUCUCUGUCUUCCUUUCUUUAAAGAGAUAGGGUCUUGCUUUGUUACCCAGGCUAGAGUGCAGUAGUACAAUCAUAGUUCACAUGGCCUCAAAUUCCUGGACUCAGGUGAGCCUCUUGCAUCAGCCUUGUGAGUAGCUGGGACUACAGGUGCACACCACCACACCCAGCUAAUUUUUAAUUUUUUUGUAGAGACAGGGUCUCACUAUGUUGACCAGGUGUAGUGACACGUGUCUGCAGCUCCAGCUACGUGGGAGGCUGAGAUGGGAGGAUCGCUUAGGCCCAGAUGGGGACUGCAGUGAGCCAUC
Molecule: long non-coding RNA, 673 nt
Organism: Homo sapiens (human)
Lineage: Eukaryota; Metazoa; Chordata; Mammalia; Primates; Hominidae
Source: Ensembl